This 77-nucleotide transfer RNA is filed under the name Alphaproteobacteria bacterium. RNAcentral describes it as "tRNA-Arg". It matches the Rfam family "tRNA". Rfam says of the family: Transfer RNA (tRNA) molecules are approximately 80 nucleotides in length. The record is from RNAcentral. Lineage: Bacteria; Pseudomonadati; Pseudomonadota; Alphaproteobacteria.
GCGCCCGUAGCUCAAUUGGAUAGAGUGUUGGCCUCCGAAGCCAAAGGUUGUGGGUUCGACUCCCGCCGGGCGCACCA